CUUCAGAGGAUGCGAAAACAAUGAAACAGGAGACGGUAUUUUUUACUUGUAUAAUCUUUGUAGAAUCUAAAAAUAGGUACAGGAUACCGUAGCUGUGCGAAAGUAAAAAAAGAAGUAAACGGAGCAAAAGAAGACCGGGUGGAAUGGUUGAAGUAUCGUUGGGCAUCCUUGGGGCAUAAAGUACCAUUAAGGUGUGAGUCUCCGUGGAAAGUUGGACGGUUUUACAUUUUGGAAAUAAUGGAUAAGUGGAAAUUCAUUGAACACCUGGGAGGUGUGCGUCAUGCAAGUGAUCAGAGUUCUUCCAGUGAUUUUACAACUAGUGAUUUAACUCUUUCUUAUUAUAAAUCAAUCACUUACAUGACUAAAUUUGUUUAAACGUUUUUUUAAAGGAAGACACAUCUUAUCGUAAUCAAUUCCUUAGAUUCCUCCAGUAACGUCGUCAUGUAAGAUAUUAAUGAUCUGGAAAUUAAAAAUGUUAAAUAGUUAAAUGACCAACAUUGUUAUUCCCACAAAAGAAGUAUCCGUACUCCGAGGGCGUAAAAUUACGGAAACGACGAGAUUACUUUAUCUCGAGAGAACGAACAUGCAGAGAUCAGGUGCACCUUGCAAAAAUUUAAACUGGCUGACGGAUUCACAGAGAAGGAAAAAAAAUAACUCCCAUUAAAAGUUUAACGCAAGAUGAAUUGGACUCGUGGUUAAUGAAACUUUUGCUUUGAGUUUUAUAAUUUUUUUUUUUUCGUUCAGUUCCCGGAAGUUAACGAAACAGUAAUUCACGCAAAUUGUACAGAUGUUUUUUAAAUUUCUUUUUCCGGCAAAGAAGGCGAACAGAAGAAUGAAUUUUCAGACAAUAUACGUAAAACGAAGAGUCUGCGAUACUUCAACCAUCACCUUGUCCCUGAUGGUUAGUCGUUGAGUUACAUAUUGCGAUAAACAGUUCACGAUUGAAAUCACAUACCGAGGGAAACAACCACGAACUAUCCCCGGAUAAUUAAUGGCAAUUUCAAGUGACGUAGAAGCUGAGUGCUCCGGAUGUCGAGUCUCGGGGCUAUCGCAAAAGUUGCUGCACCGAACUCGACGAAUUUAUGAGGAUUGUUUCGCCAACUAGACGAUGGAAAAUUAACUCUCUCCUAUUUUACUUUUUUUUUAUUCGCUCAGUUUGUACUUUGUUGGGAGUGAAUGAUAAUUUUCGUAUCUCAAAUCCCGGGAAACAGUACGUCCGGUUUGUCUGCUUUUGAUAUCACAUUUCGUUGAAUUUUAGAGGAAUCGCACACCGACAAAUCACGAAGCCUCAAAGAUGAACAUCACUUCUAUCUCCAUUUGAUUUUAAAAUACCUGAUUGCCUUCUCCACAUUGAUAGUUAUUAAAAAUAACUUCCAAAAGUUAUAAAUCUCUAUAUCGAGACGCAAUUCCCUGGAAGUUGCAGACUUCAUUAGGAAUUCAAUUCAAUUUCAUGAUGAAUAUUAUUUAGAUGAAGGUUCCGUAAUAAUCAUUGGAAAUAUGAUAGAGGCUGGUGUUGCGAGUGGAUGCAAUUGUCAAUGUUCAUCAAUUGUUAAUGAUACAUUAUGAAUAGCUUCGUCAUUGGUAACUGUAAAAAAAGCUGAACACCGGUGUUGGAGUGAAUUAUAAUUGUAAAUAAAUGCAAGAAGUUGGAGGAGAAUUAUUCACCGCAGGUCGCAUUUGCGACUGGGAGGGCGAAACUUGCGGUAGACUGACGAAAGAUGCGAUGGAAUUAUUAUAAUAUCCAGGGGUGAUCACCUGAGACGCAGACCCAGUGUUACAAUUUUAUUUUAAUCACAUAAAAUAGGAAGCAAAUGCAUCGCGUCUACAAGGCUGAUUCGUCUGGCCUUCGAACAAUGAGCGUUCAAUGCAAUCACAUUUUUCAUUCACUUAUUUAACAACUCAAUAAUACAUUUUCUGACAACAAGAAGUUCUCUUGAAUUGAGAAUAAAUUUUCUAAAGUGGCGAAACAAGUUUUUUAGAAUCGAGGGAAUAGUUUUCUUCUUCUCUUAACACCGGAAAUAUUUUUUUAGUGAACAGCAAGGCACAUUUUUUAUAUUUCACUAGAAUUUAAAUCGUAAUUGUCGGAUAACUUGACUAUUGAAGAGUGAAAGGUGUUCUGAGGUGCAGAAGAAAAUGAGAAUGAUAUAAUAAGUUUAUUAAAUGAAGGCAGUGUUUGAAUUUUUGUAUGGGAUAAGAGCGAUGGCAAUUUUUGUCGAGCUAUCAUGAUGCCGCCAUCUGUUCAACUUUGACGCAACAUCCUGAGGAAAACUCGUCGGAUACUGCGAUACGAUCAAUUUGAAACAGAUUUAAAAAAUCUAUUCUAUUCAAUACAAUGUCUUCAAAAUACACGACUAAAAGAAAAAUAAAAUUUCAUGUGCAGUUGUUUG
Fopius arisanus is the source of this 2387-nucleotide long non-coding RNA. RefSeq lists it as uncharacterized. The transcript has 3 exons. The record is from RefSeq and is a predicted model, not a curated record. Lineage: Eukaryota; Metazoa; Arthropoda; Insecta; Hymenoptera; Braconidae.